GCGCAACCCUUGUCCUUAGUUACCAGCACGUUAUGUGGGCACUCUAAGGAGACUGCCGGUGACAAACCGGAGGAAGGUGGGGAUGACGUCAAGUCAUCAUGGCCCUUACGGCCUGGGCUACACACGUGCUACAAUGGUCGGUACAAAGGGUUGCCAAGCCGCGAGGUGGAGCUAAUCCCAUAAAACCGAUCGUAGUCCGGAUCGCAGUCUGCAACUCGACUGCGUGAAGUCGGAAUCGCUAGUAAUCGUGAAUCAGAAUGUCACGGUGAAUACGUUCCCGGGCCUU
Molecule: ribosomal RNA, 286 nt
Filed under: uncultured Pseudomonas sp.
Lineage: Bacteria; Pseudomonadati; Pseudomonadota; Gammaproteobacteria; Pseudomonadales; Pseudomonadaceae
Description: partial 16S ribosomal RNA
Rfam family: Bacterial small subunit ribosomal RNA
Source: RNAcentral